This 300-nucleotide ribosomal RNA is filed under the name uncultured Sulfolobus sp. Its description in RNAcentral is "bacterial SSU rRNA". It matches the Rfam family "Bacterial small subunit ribosomal RNA", at positions 492 to 795 of the family's 1533-position model. The record is from RNAcentral. Lineage: Archaea; Thermoproteati; Thermoproteota; Thermoprotei; Sulfolobales; Sulfolobaceae.
GCCGAUGAGGUGGCUGGGGCGACGGUAAGAGGAAGGGCGCUAGCGUUUGCCGGAUUCAUUGGGAGUAAAGUGCUCGGAGGGGGGUUGUUGGGUCGUCCGGGGAAUGCCAUGGCUUAACUGGGGGCUUGCGGUCGAGACGGGCGGGCUGGAGUUCGGUAGGUGAGACUGGAAUUCCUGGUGUAGCGGUGAAAGGCGCAGAUAUCAGGAGGAACACCGGUGGCGAAGGCGGGUCUCUGGGCCGAUACUGACGCUGAGGAGCGAAAGCGUGGGGAGCGAACAGGAUUAGAUACCCGUGUAGUC